RNAcentral lists this ribosomal RNA (276 nucleotides) under uncultured archaeon. Its description in RNAcentral is "partial 16S ribosomal RNA". It matches the Rfam family "Archaeal small subunit ribosomal RNA", at positions 1068 to 1343 of the family's 1478-position model. The record is from RNAcentral.
CAGCUCGUCCUCCGGGAUGGUGGGGACACUGUUGGGACCGCCUCUGCUAAAGAGGAGGAAGGAAUGGGCAACGGUAGGUCAGCAUGCCCCGAAUUAUCCGGGCUACACGCGGGCUACAAUGGGUGGGACAAUGGGUAUCGACACCGAAAGGUGAAGGCAAUCUCCUAAACCCAUCCUUAGUUCGGAUUGUGGGCUGCAACUCGCCCACAUGAAGCUGGAAUCUGUAGUAAUCGUGUCUCAACAUGGCACGGUGAAUAUGUCCCUGUCCUUGCACAA